CUCGUAGGCGGUUCGUCGCGUCCGGUGUGAAAGUCCAUCGCUUAACGGUGGAUCCGCGCCGGGUACGGGCGGGCUUGAGUGCGGUAGGGAAGACUGGAAUUCCCGGUGUAACGGUGGAAUGUGUAGAUAUCGGGAAGAACACCAAUGGCGAAGGCAGGUCUCUGGGCCGUUACUGACGCUGAGGAGCGAAAGCGUGGGGAGCGAACA
This 207-nucleotide ribosomal RNA is filed under the name uncultured bacterium. RNAcentral describes it as "partial 16S ribosomal RNA". It matches the Rfam family "Bacterial small subunit ribosomal RNA", at positions 568 to 774 of the family's 1533-position model. The record is from RNAcentral.